GGGUUGUGAGGUUAAGCGACUAAGCGUACACGGUGGAUGCCCUGGCAGUCAGAGGCGAUGAAGGACGUGCUAAUCUGCGAUAAGCGCCGGUAAGGUGAUAUGAACCGUUAUAACCGGCGAUUUCCGAAUGGGGAAACCCAGUGUGAUUCGUCACACUAUCAUUAACUGAAUCCAUAGGUUAAUGAGGCGAACCGGGGGAACUGAAACAUCUAAGUACCCCGAGGAAAAGAAAUCAACCGAGAUUCCCCCAGUAGCGGCGAGCGAACGGGGAGGAGCCCAGAGCCUGAAUCAGCAUGUGUGUUAGUGGAAGCGUCUGGAAAGGCGCGCGAUACAGGGUGACAGCCCCGUACACAAAAGCGCAUGUGCUGUGAGCUCGAUGAGUAGGGCGGGACACGUGGUAUCCUGUCUGAAUAUGGGGGGACCAUCCUCCAAGGCUAAAUACUCCUGACUGACCGAUAGUGAACCAGUACCGUGAGGGAAAGGCGAAAAGAACCCCGGCGAGGGGAGUGAAAAAGAACCUGAAACCGUGUACGUACAAGCAGUGGGAGCACCCUUCGGGGUGUGACUGCGUACCUUUUGUAUAAUGGGUCAGCGACUUAUAUUCUGUAGCAAGGUUAACCGUAUAGGGGAGCCGUAGGGAAACCGAGUCUUAACCGGGCGUUAAGUUGCAGGGUAUAGACCCGAAACCCGGUGAUCUAGCCAUGGGCAGGUUGAAGGUUGGGUAACACUAACUGGAGGACCGAACCGACUAAUGUUGAAAAAUUAGCGGAUGACCUGUGGCUGGGGGUGAAAGGCCAAUCAAACCGGGAGAUAGCUGGUUCUCCCCGAAAGCUAUUUAGGUAGCGCCUCGUGAAUUCAUCUCCGGGGGU
Molecule: ribosomal RNA, 869 nt
Filed under: Salmonella enterica subsp. enterica serovar Virchow
Lineage: Bacteria; Pseudomonadati; Pseudomonadota; Gammaproteobacteria; Enterobacterales; Enterobacteriaceae
Description: partial 23S ribosomal RNA
Rfam family: Bacterial large subunit ribosomal RNA
Source: RNAcentral